This 250-nucleotide ribosomal RNA is filed under the name uncultured prokaryote. RNAcentral describes it as "partial 16S ribosomal RNA". It matches the Rfam family "Bacterial small subunit ribosomal RNA", at positions 524 to 773 of the family's 1533-position model. The record is from RNAcentral.
UACGGAGGAUGCAAGCGUUAUCCGGAUUUAUUGGGUUUAAAGGGUGCGUAGGCUGUGCCGCAAGUCAGGGGUGAAAGCCCGGCGCUUAACGCCGGAACUGCCUUUGAUACUGCGGUGCUGGAGUUCGGAUGCCGUGGGAGGAAUGGGCAGUGUAGCGGUGAAAUGCUUAGAUAUUGCCCAGAACACCGAUUGCGAAGGCAUCUCACGAAUCCGCGACUGACGCUGAGGCACGAAAGCGUGGGGAUCAAAC